Molecule: long non-coding RNA, 1786 nt
Organism: Peromyscus maniculatus bairdii (prairie deer mouse)
Lineage: Eukaryota; Metazoa; Chordata; Mammalia; Rodentia; Cricetidae
Source: RefSeq, a predicted model, not a curated record
GAAACUGACACUCAGAGAGCUUACAACCCUUGAAAAUUAAGAGCUGCAGGCGAGCAAGGCAAGCUGGCAUCUGCCCUGCACAAAAGCCAUCACACGCGACCACAGCCCUCAUACUUGCUACCAAUUCCGAUGUCAAGGCUGAAAUGUUGAAUUCAGAUCUCCAAGAAGAGGAUGUUUUGAUCAAGCUCUACAGAGGAAGUAUCACAGCCCAUGCUGGACAGUUCACCCCAGUCACUGACAGUGUUUUUGGAGGUUCAGAAGAUGGCACCAGGUCGGAGAAACAAGUUCUUUUGGAAAGUAUGUCUUAGGGAUAAUCUUGUUCCUAGCCACUUCCUGCUGCAGCCUACUUCUCGUCCACUGUAAGGCAUCUCACCAACUCCGCAGCUUCCAAAUGCGAGAUCUUCCAGUUUAACCAUGCCUAUAUGCCUUGCUAUUCUGCCCUAUAGUUUUUUUAUAAAUUAUCUACUAAGAUAUUCAUAUACCUUUUUUCCUUUAAUUACCAAAACAAAAUAAAUUUUCACUUCUUUUUAAAGUUGAGCCCACAGAGCCUGGGGUAAUUUGCCCAGAGUCACCCAUCAUUUCUCAAGAUGGCAGAGCUCAGAUCCCUCUUCCUGUUUCUUGCACUUUGGUUUCAAUUUCACGCCACUGCCCUUUAGAACUCUUCUAUGCUGACCUUCUUUCUUUCCUAUGUUUUGACCGUAGAGUUUCUUAAGUCUGUUUCUUUUGAAAGGCUCUCACUAUGUUGCCCACAUUGACUUAGAACUCCUAAGUCCAAUCGAUCCUCUUGUUUCCACAUCCCAAGCUCUAGGACUACAGGUAUAUAUCACCCACACCCAACAUGAGUUUCUUAAUACUUAUCUUUGUGAAUGUGCAUCCAUUUGACAUCAUCAUUUAAUUAUCAACCAGUAGCUGGCUUAUCUCUAAGGUGCUGAGUCACAACCUGAAGUUGCAAUCACAUGACAGUGUUUAUUCUACUUGCUGUAAAUACUGUGGACUGAGGCAAAGCCAUUAAUCCCACUGAGUUCUGUUUAUCUUGCCUGUAAAAUGGACUUCUCGUGUUUAACUACAGAGUUGCUUGGAGGAUUUGGUGACAUGGAGUAUUUAAGGCAUGUAUGUUGUAUAUGGUAAUUGUUCAAUAAAUGGCUUGUUGCGGUUGCUGUUUUGAAAGCCACCAAUGGCCUUUCAGUGGGGCACAAUCCUCAAGUCCCUUGGGCACAGAGGCAGGCAGGAUCCUGAUAUUCAGAAGCUUUUUCAUCUAGUAACUUGAAUUUAAUCAAUCCAUGUGGGUUUCUAUUUAUCCACCAAUCUCCUUUUCUAUCUCCCUGCAUUGUGUAACACUCCCUUGAAAGGAUGAUCAGAGGUGCUGGUUACUCUCAAAUCUUUUUUUUUUUUUCAUCAUGAAUAGUGACUCCAUCCCCCUAAAAAUCAUCUUAGUGUUUUUAUAUUUAUUAAAUUUGGUGAUACAAAGGUCUUGCCUCCUUUCUUGGUGAGAAUAAAGGAAAACACUUUCUCACCAUAAACCAAUCCUCUUGAUUUAAGUGUCCAUCGACUAUAAUUUAAGCUUUCUGUAGAGGUACAAGCUCCCCAGAGAGCUUAGAAGAUAGCAAAAAUCCAGAACAGACCAUCUCAACACAGAAAGCCCUUAAUCAAUUACAGGAUGGAUCUAACUUGAGUUUUAUUCUUGAUUAAACUUGUUGAUGUUUACCAUCCUGAGAGCAGACAGCAUGUCCACCUCAAAGGUCAUCAAUUCCAUAUAAAGUUUCCCAAUGAGAGUAACUUAGAUUAA